Molecule: long non-coding RNA, 6485 nt
Organism: Apis cerana (Asiatic honeybee)
Lineage: Eukaryota; Metazoa; Arthropoda; Insecta; Hymenoptera; Apidae
Source: RefSeq, a predicted model, not a curated record
GAAAUAGAAGAGGAAGUAGACAGGUUUUUCCUUUUCGAGAGAAUAGUUUCUUCACGAUUCCCGCUCAUACGGGACACGUACAAGGGGGCGAAUAGAAAUCAUGGAUUCUCCUGGCGUGGACUCUUGGAUCGGCGAGACUCACCUUUCAGAUUUUUUAACGUGGAAGACGUGAUCGAGGAAAAAAGUUUGCCAAUGGGAGGGAAAAAUCUCGCGAUAUUAAUACUUUGAUCGAAGGAUUAUGGAUCGAACGAUGGGUUAUGUGUUGUAUGUAUAAUUCUCAGAGGAACGAUGAGGUGCACUCCGCGAAUUCGCGCAUAAAACUGAUGUCUCAAGUUCGACAAAGACGCAGAAAUCUUAUCUAGCCGAUAACAAAGAGACACAAUGUCAACAGAUAAACAAUGAUUACCUAAUGGUUCCACUAAACAUGAUUACAUCUUGAGGAAUUACUGAAAGUCUCGAGCGAAGGAUUUUCAAAGGAAUUCGUCGGACGUCUAUUCCAUCGAUUAAUACACGACCUUGAGUGAUAUCUAGCAAUCGAAACAACGCCAUCAUUGUGGAGGAUUUCCCGCUUCCGGUUCUUCCGCAAAUUCCAAUCUGUAUGCAUGUAUAUACAUGUAUCAAAACAGAAUAGAAUUCUCUUAUUUUUUUUUAUAAAUUCUUACUUUUUGGCCAGCUGAAAUCUUCAGAGAAAAAUUCGAGAUCACUGGUUGAUUUUGAGAAGCAUAUCUCAGAGAAACAUUUUCAAAAAUAAUUUCACCUUUGUUGGGCCAAUUUUUAGAUAUGUAAAAGCCUAGAAAAUAUUAUAUAAAUCAAAUAAUUUAUCAUUUUUAUCAUACCUUGUUUUUCAAAUUAAAAUUUAUAUUUCAGAGAUAAAGUACCAUCUUGAUAAUUUUCCACAGGGGCAUAUCUGUAAGUGGAAAUCCGAGCAACACUACCAAAAUAUAUCUCUGUCUCCGCGAUAAAUUUCACCACCCAAUUUAAAUAAAUUGGCACUAGUAGGGUGUAAUUAAUCGCCAGGCCAACCAGAGCAGGCGUGAUAUGUGGAUACAAUUUAGCGGAAAUUAACAUUACAAAUAUCGCAGAGCUCACUAUUAUAGCACCUAGAUAAUCCUGGAAAGUGUUCAUGGUGAAGAUAGAUCGAGCAGAAUGAAAAAGUUUUAAAAAUUCUCUUACCAGAACGAUGCCUAACCAUCGACUGCUGGAAUUUAGAAGGAGAAACGCGUUUGUAUUGAUGUCCAGACACUUUAUAGCUUCCUCCAUGAAGCGAUUCUCUUGCUUUGAAGCUCUUAUCGUUGCUAAUCCGCAAAGUGUUUCAGAAAAGAGGAAUUUUUAACUCACUUAGCCCAUUCAAUGGAUCCUGCUAUCCUCUGGAUUUCUCCCAACAUUCCUAGCAGCAAAGAAGUUUUUCCACUUCCCGUUUUACCAACGAUUAAAGUUAACUGACCUGAAAAUUAGAGAAGUUAACAUUUUUACAAAAUCAAAUGAUUUAUUAAUCAUUGCAAUAAAUAAAUUACCACAUGGAAAGCUAAGAUCAUCGAUGGACAACAGACUUUCCUCUGUACCCCAGGAAAAUUUGCAGCCUUUCAUUGUAAGUAUCGGCAUUUCAGGAUCUUUUUCAAAGACUGUAUCUAUAGAAGAAUUUAUAUUCAAUUGGUAAUCUUUUAAGCCACACGAUUGUCUAUUUUCCUCAUCUUCUUUGAUGUUAUCCAAUGAUCCAAAUGUAGGAUUAUUGAGCGUCUUCAUUGUUUCCAUCUGAAGAAAUUAUAAAAUUUGAUUUAAAUCAAAUUUUACAUUAUUAUUUUAAAGUAUUUACAAUGGAUUCGUCGACGGAAUUAGUUUGUGACGAUAUACUCUCAGCAUUUUCUGACUUUCUAUCAACAAAAUCGGGCAAGACAUUGUCAAUUUCUGGAAGUUGAAGAAAUUCCUCCAUUCUUUUCGUGGAAAUCUAAAAAAUCUUUGAAUAAGUAUUGCACAAUAGAAAAACACAAUAGAAAUUGUAAAUUUCGUUUAUUAUUAGAAAUUUUGUUUACCAUAGCAUUGAUAAUGAUAGGGAUCAUGACUGGAAAGAUGAGAAGAGGAACAGUCAACUGUGAGAAUAAUGCUAAGCUUGCAAAAACCUUUCCUACAUCAAGAGUUUGAUCUUCUAGCCAGAAAUAAGCGGCAAAAGUGAAAAGUGUCAUCAGAACCGAAGAAGCAUGGAUGAGGAAGUCUAAUUAUGAAAGAAUAAUAUUUAUUGCAUUAUUACAUUUUUUUCAAUUUUAUUUAUCUAUUCGAAAAAUUAAGUUUACUAAUAAGAGUCCAAUAGAAAGAGUCUUUGUCCAACAUCUUCAGCUCAUCUUCUCUCGUUUUCCUUAUUUUUUCUUCAAAAAUAUUUUCCCAAGCUCUAAGUUUCACCAAUCUCAUUCCUUGGAAAAUUUCAUUGAUUAAACGUAAUCUAGUAUCACUGUUUUUCUAAGGAUAAACAUAUUGUAAAGAUUUUUCAAUUAUUAUUAUUAAAAAUUAAAAGAAAAAUUGGAAAUAUCAACCUACAGUAAUCAAUUUAGAAUUUUCCGACAUCUUUUUACCAAGUAUCAAUUGUAAGGGUAUCACUACUAAUAUGCAACAAAUUGCUCCAAUGAUUGCACUGACGCCCAAUUUUGUGUAAAGAAGAAAAAUAAUAGCAAUAAUCUAAAAACAAUACGUAGCUGUAGAAUAAUUUUAUAGAAUAAAAAUAUAUUGUUUUUCCACCUUUAAUGGAAUGGCCCAUGUAUAAUGUCCAAUCCAUAAAAAACUCAUCACAUUGUAGACAUCUUCUGAUAUCAGAUUAGUCAAAGUUCCAAUAUCAGCAGAUUGCUGGAGUUUAUUCUGUUCUUUCUCCUUGUCUGACAAGUUAUCUUCUUCGUCGAUGCUCCAAGAGUACAAACGCAAAGCUUUAUCGUAUAACAGUGCCUGCAAUUUUAAUUUGACUAUGCUGAUAAUUUUCGAUGGUUUCUAUUUUCGAUUUUUGAGUGUACCUGAAGAGCAGUUUUCAAGCGAAUUCCUUCAACGCAGAGAAUAUGAGUGGAAGCUUGGCUUAGAGUUCCUUGUAAUAAAGAAAAAAACAAUACCAAUAAGCCCAAAAAAUAGCCAUUUUCUAAGAUUUCUGGAAAUGUCAUGACAACCUAAAAUAUAGUAUAAAAUUUCUUUUUUUUUAUUUAAUUUUACAAAAAAAGAAAUUAUCCUGUAGUGUUAGAUACAAAUACCAUAGUGUAUUGAGAAGUUAUUGUUCUAUUUUGAGAGGCAGAAACAUAGUUCAGGAUUUUAGAAAUAGACAAUGGUCCCACAAGGGUUGCAGCAUCUCCCAAUAACUUUAACAAUCCUCCAAUGACAAAGGGAUGCCAUAUCUUCUUCCAAAAACAUUUCCAAAGACAUAAUUUUUUGUUUCUUUCCUAUAAAGAAUAUCAGACACUCUAAAUCAUCUAAAUUUUAUAAAAAUAUUUUUAUAUAUUCGUUGCUGUUAUAUUAUGAUUAGAUGGAAAUGUAUAUUUUUUAAUUAAAAUUUAUUACAGUUUAUUUUCCAUUUUCCAGAAUUACCCUAUGCUCCUCGUAUACUUUUCGAAAUUUUCCAAAUUGUUUCCUAGUACUCUCUUCCUCCGGAAGUUGACCAAGAUCGUGAAUGUCCAGAUAUCUCUUGUAUCCUUUGGACAACAAAUUUAUCAUCCACUGAAAAGUGAUUUUAUUGAAAAAUGGUGCCUCCGUGUGUUUAUAUACGAUUUUUCCUCGUGUCUCUCGUUCGAUCAAGUAUCUUCUCCUUCUUCUUGUCUAGACAGGGUGAAAAUUGUGAUUAUUCAGCGAGUAAAAUGUGGGCUAUUUGUAUGCUCCAGCCUGCUUGUUUUUACUAGGUCAAGGAGCCAAUAUGCACACAUAAAAUAUAUUUAGAAUAACGAUAAAGUGUUCAUCUUACCUGUUAUCGAAAGAUUACUUAAUUGGACAUACUCUUCACAUAACUAUAAUUAAACGUAAGGAGUAUUUUCAUUCUUAUUGAGGUUUGAGAAAAGAGUUGAUAUAUUAUAGCAAAGUGGAAAUUAACGAUGGAUAAUUGCAAUACUAAAAAUUAAAGUGAUUAGGAGAAUUUUAUUCUUCUGAAAAGUAGGUAUAAUAUAGAAUAAUGGAUAAUUAUAUUAUUAUAAAUAGAAUUGAGAUAAUUGAUAAUUGUAUAGAAAACAGAACUAAAGAGACUUGAAGGUAAUUUUACUGCAACAAGUGUAACUUUUUUAUUUUGUUGUUUCAUCAUUUUAUUUUUCAGGAGAUAAAUAGAAAUUUAGGAAAUGUAAUUCUUUAUUUUUUCGUCAUUCUAUAUUUCUAUAUUAAAAAGAAUUUGUUUCAUGAAACCGUGUGAUGUUUGUCUCUCUGACAUUGUAACAAUUAUUAAUUUUAGUAUGACUAUUCUUGGAUGUUUUGAAACAUGUGCAUCAAGCAUCAAAAUACACUUUCUACGAAGAAUUUAUUUGGUUUCCUAGAAACUAACCAGAGAAUAUCGAUGGAAUGGAGCUAUAUUUGCGAUUUAGUUUGCAGUAUCAAGGAAGAAAAGUUCUUUGUUACUAUUCGAUAAGCUCUUCUGCUUCUCCAGGUCACGAUAAUAAACAUUAUUGUUCAAACAAACUAAGUAAAUGUAAAACAAAUGUUUGCAUUCGGCUGGGAGUAGCUGGUUUUUCUCGAUAAGGUUGCAAUGUUAUGUUGCUAAUUCGAUACUUACCAUAAUAAGUAGUUGAUUUAAAUUAAGUAUCUGAUAGUCUAAUUAAAUUAAAUUGAAAUUAAAAUGGAUUUAUGAUUAAUUACAACAUUGAGGACAACAUGAGGACAACAUUUAUGAGGAUAUAACUACCUCGAAUUAGCUUUAAAAUUAAAUAAUAAAUCAACUUACUAUAAGAUACAACGUGUAAGAAUCCAAAAUAGCAAAGAGACCGCAGAAAAUAGCGGUGAUCGCUGUAGUUGUGUAUCGAACAUGUAAAACGGAUAGACCAUAUCUGAAAAUUUUCAGAAAUUGUUUUAGUUGAUACCAGAGUCAUUAACAAUAAUAAAAAAAAAAUUUCAAAUACGAAACUGACCUAUAAAGAUACGUGAGUUUCCAUGCUCGUGAUAAACCAAUCGCAGCGAAUAUUCCAGUAGUGUAAGCAACGCCCAAACCAUCCUUAACUUCGGUGUUUCGAUGCAGGAUCCAGCAGUAAAGGAUAGCUACUAUCGUAAUGAUCGAAGAGCAAGAAAUCCACGUUAGGAAAGACUCGCAUAAUUCCAAGAAAAGAACCACUAAUACCGUCAUACAUAACAGUGUUCUAGUUGUGUGAAAUGGCAGAAGUCUUCUGCAUUUUCUAAGUAAAAAAAGAAAAGUAUUAAAAACCUGGAUCCUUUAUAAAAUAUCAGCGAAGGUCCAAUCGAUCGAUCUUCGACAAACCUUCAAUUAUCCCUCGUUACAACAAAGAAAUAAACAAAUUCAACAUCCUUUAUGAAAAUGAUCUAAAUUAACUCAAGUGCCAAUAAAAUGAACCAAUUAAUUACCAGGUAAUUACAACCUUGGACAAAUGGCAGUCCAAUUAUUUUUGUAUUACCUUUUUAGAAAUUGAUCAAUUUGCUUAUAAACACGUCUAAUAAACGUCAUAAACUUGUUUUUCAACUUCCGUCUUCUCAAAUUAUCUUGUUUUCUUGGAACUUUAAAAGAAUAUUUUCUGGAUUUCACAAUUUCUUAAGAAGAACUGAUCAAAUUUAAAGGGAUUACGAGAAAUCUUUAUUGAUUUUUCAACGAAGAAGAAAGAAAAUAAUCGAGCAGCCAUCUGAUUCAAUUUUAUUAAAAUUCUUCGAACGCGCAACAUGACGUAAACCAGGAAAACGUGUAUACGUAGGUGUAUGAACACCCUUCAUGAACACAUGUUAUAAAUUAUUCUGAACGAGGAAAAAACAAUAGAAACGAGUUUGGUAUAGAAAACAGAUAAAACUUUUGUAGAUCCAGCCUUGUUUCCUGGAAUAGAAAGGUGUUACAGACGUUUGACAUGGAUCUUUUCUUAUUGAAGAUUUUUAAUUACAAUCAUUUAAAAAUUGUAAUAUAAUUCCAUGUAAGAAGGGUCAAGUAAAGGCGAAGAAAUUAACAGGCUUGAGAAAUUUUUAUCACAUUAAUUGAAACAAAUUGUUCGAAUGGAACAUGGUAGUCCCAUAUGAAUCAUGGGGACAUCCCAAAUGUGAAACGUUUCGUUUAAUUGAAGGUUGCUUCAAUUGGUGUUAGCUGAACACGAAGUUCUAGCCCCUUAAAUACAAAUUAAACAUUCAUUGCACGUUUUCCUCAAAUCAACAGUAUGCAUUGUGACAACUAAAGCAAAUACCAUUGCUGUUACGAAUAGCCAAAUCUUAUCGUUUUAAAAUUAACUUUCGAGAAUAUGGUAUCAACAUUUCGAUCUAUAUUAUCAAGUAAUAUAUCAGAUUGUUGUUAAGUAAAUAUUUUAUCGAAUUUGUUAAAUAAAAAGAUUACUUUUUCUUGA